Molecule: unclassified non-coding RNA, 2563 nt
Filed under: Leishmania donovani
Lineage: Eukaryota; Euglenozoa; Kinetoplastea; Trypanosomatida; Trypanosomatidae
Description: gene:LdHU3.16.0310(CDS-product:protein_tyrosine_p hosphatase-likie_protein)
Source: RNAcentral
UGCACGACGUGCUCUGCAGUGUGCCUCCUCCACCUCUGUGACAGUAACCAUCCCCUUGUUUGCUAGCAAGUCGCUCAGACACUGCCGCGGACCACGAUUGCGGCAACACGGAGCGCCUCUCUCUACUCUUUCCACAGCCGACCCCCCCCCCCCCUCUUCCGAAACGCACACGCACACGCAAGGUGAGCUACUCUCAUUUUUCUAGUGCGGACCCGCGUGCUUGCAUAUGCGCUCCUGUGAUUCCCCACAUCGCAUUCUCCGUCCCGUGAAUCCGUCGGAGGGCUGCAGACACCCUAACAAAACCCUCAGCUUUCCCCCUGUUGCUCGUCCGUCCCCAGACCGUUAAGCGUCGUGGACGUCUGUAAUCGUUUCUCUUCGGUUGCUGUUCACUCUCUCACUGUCACUGCCUCGCCCUCCUUCGCGCCGGAAAGAUGGACAUCAACGGCACCAUUGUGGACUGCAAGCGCAACGGCACUGACGAGGUCAUUUUCCGCUUCCUCAUCCUUGACGCACCGAGCCCGAGCAGCCUGCCCACCUACGUGAAGCUCCUGCAGCGGCAAAAUGUGCACCACCUCGUCCGUGCCUGCGGCCCCACCUACAAUGCCGAGCUGGUGGAAAAGAACGGCAUCCAGGUGCAUGGGUGGACCUUCGACGACGGAGCGCCGCCAACGCGGGCGGUGAUUGACAGUUGGCUCGACUUGCUAUCUCUGGAGGUCGGCAAGACGCCGCCGGAGACUAUCGCGGUCCAUUGCGUGGCGGGUCUAGGACGGGCACCGAUCUUGGUUGCGUUGGCACUGGUGGAGUACGGCAACAUGGCUCCGCUGGACGCCGUGGGCUAUGUUCGAGAGCGGCGGAAGGGUGCCAUCAACCAGGUACAGCUGAAUUGGCUCAUGCGAUACAGGCCGCGCCAUCACCAGGCGAGUGAUCGUUCUCUUGCCUGUACCAACUGCGCUAUCAUGUGAAACGCGCCAGAGAGACGAGGUGGCGUGUGCCCCUGCGUUUGCGGGUGCUCGACAGCACCGUUUACAACUGCUUCUGUGGAGGGAUGGCUGGAGACACGAAGGAAGUGAUGGAACGCGUGCCCCAGUAAAGUCUGGAAGGAGGCUGCGCGAGCGGCGAUCGCGAAGGGAAGAUAGAUGGUGGCGGAUUGGCAGCAUCGCGUUGGUUGUUCCCCCCCCCCCCCCCCCCCCCCACCACAACCCCUUCGCACACACUGCACUGCCGCUUCUCCUUCCACUUUUCACUCUGUCUCUCACGUCUUUGGUCUCCUCUGCAGGCCGACUAACACUUUUCUUUGUUGUUUGUUGUUUGCGCGCGCGCGACUUCGUUCAUGUCGGUGCCGGCGCUCACGCCGGCUUCAGUGGUGGCUCACGACACCAUUGCUUUCAGUGUAUGCGCUUCCCCGUGCAUGUGCUUGUGAAUGCGCGCUGCCCCAGGACGGCGUCCCUGAUGAUGACGAGGGGGGGGAGUGUCUAAGGGCGCGAUAUCACAGUGCUCAGCACACCCGCUCUGUGUGCGGAGAGGCCAGCCCCUCCCCCCUCCUAUAUCCCUGCCAGUGCCGAACCGCUUCUCUUGGUGACAGGGUGAAGUGGCGACGGCGUACGGGGAGGGGGGAGGGGGAGGCCCGUGCGCGGUGUCGCUGCCGCUGUCCGGUCGCGGGUGGCGUUGUGCGUCGCGGCGACCGGCGACAGUGUGAGCACGUGUGUGCCAUUUGUAUGUGGUGUGCAAGUCCGCCAUGCGCCUCGAGCGUAUCCCACCUGGCCGUCACACUGCCUACUGCUGGUGUGUGUGUGUGUGGGGGGGGCGAGUGGCGCUGGAGCCAUGCCGCCGUGGCAGCUAGAUGGGCGCGACGCAGCACGGGCAGAGCAGAAAACACCUCUUAUGCCGUUGUGUUGCUUUGGCGGGAGGGAUCCUCUAACCCGUGCGUGCAGGUGUUUCUGGGCUGAUGCUUGUGAGCGUAUGUUCGUCUGCUCGGAAGCGCCGGUGUCUUCGAAAGAAUUCGCAAGUGUGCAGGCGCAUGCAAGAUGGCGCCGAGGGAGAGCGAGAAGGAGGACUCCCUCGAAGUCGCGCGUUCCACCCCUGCGGCGGGGCGCUCCCAUGACAGGAUGCGUUGUCUGUCGCACGCGCGAAGGCGUAUCGCACUUCGUCGGCGCCCGCAUCAGACAGGGAGGAGGGGUGCAGCUCGUGAGGUGCCGGCACUGGGCCUCUGUUCUCCUCGCUGCCUUCUCUCAUCACCCAGCGCGAACUCUCUGCGCUUCGAUGGGCACUUGAGGAGAUCCCUCCACCCCCUCCCUCGCCCGGCUCACAGAUGCCGACAUGCCAGUCAGCGGCAAAGGACGCGGAUAGCUGCUGAUUGGGCCAUCGGUCUCGGUGCCUACGCGCGUUUCGGCGCACAGGAUUUCUGUGCCGAGCAGUCGGCUUUCCUUCUGGUGAGCGUGGCACCCUCCUCCUCGUCUGCCAUCGCUCCCAUGCUGCACUCCCGGUGCGUCGCCACGAGGGCGUGUAGUCGCGUGGCGCACAUCCCUUCAUUCACCUCACCCGUUUUGCUCUCUUUGGUCUUAAG